Molecule: ribosomal RNA, 440 nt
Filed under: uncultured bacterium
Lineage: Bacteria
Description: partial 16S ribosomal RNA
Rfam family: Bacterial small subunit ribosomal RNA
Source: RNAcentral
CCUACGGGAGGCAGCAGUGGGGGAUAUUGCACAAUGGGGGAAACCCUGAUGCAGCGACGCCGCGUGGGUGAAGAAGCGCCUCGGCGCGUAAAGCCCUGUCAGCAGGGAAGAAAAUGACGGUACCUGAAGAAUAAGCCCCGGCUAACUACGUGCCAGCAGCCGCGGUAAUACGUAGGGGGCAAGCGUUAUCCGGAUUUACUGGGUGUAAAGGGGGCGCAGUCGGCGAUGCAAGCCAGUGGUGAAAGCCCGGGGCCCAACCCCGGGACUGCCCUUGGAACUGCGUGGCUAGAGUGCAGGAGGGGCAGGCGGAAUUCCUGGUGUAGCGGUGAAAUGCGUAGAUAUCAGGAGGAACACCGAUGGCGAAGGCGGCCUGCUGGACUGCAACUGACGUUGAGGCCCGAAGGCGUGGGGAGCAAACAGGAUUAGAUACCCGUGUAGUC